GCUGUCGGGUGCGCCCUCUUCCUAUGUAGUUGCUGCCUGCCCACCCUCUGCCACGCCAUGGUACUUCCCAGAAUGUCUUGUGCAGGGCAGGAAGUGCGGCCCCUCUGCUUCCUCUCAGAAAUCCCAUAAGCAGAGAGGACAGUGAGGGUGGGGUCUCUCAGGAAGGGCUCUAGCUACUGUUGUCCCACAGUGCCUUUCCUGUGAGCAUACAGCAUUACUCUCCAUUGUCCUUCAACCUAGUUGUCACUUCCUCCAGGAAGUCCUCUCUGAUUACUACUGCUGCUCCCAGGCCAAGAACCCUGCUAAUUCAAGGACAAGCGCAGAGAUUGGGACUUCACCUAAGAGGCCUUGGGCGAACCAGAAGCACAUAGUGGUGCUGUGAAGACCCCGUGAAGCUGAAGGGCACCUGUGCAGAGAAGCAACGAGAACCAGUGGCCUCUGUCCUCGGCAGACAAGAGGUGGUGGUGACUGGCAAGAGGCAGGGGACAGUGAGGCGAAGAGGAAGCAGAUAAAACCAAAGGACAGGAAGGACACAGACCUCUGGGGUGAAGACAGAAUGAAGGGAUCUAGUGGGUGGUAAAAGCCCAGCAGACACCUGAGUAAUGGAAAGUCACUAUCCUGGCACUCCCAGAGGAGAAGCUGAUGGGAGGUGUAAUGGCCAUUGUCAAUAAUGGUUGCCCCUCGGGAGACUGACAGCCCAGCAGAAUCUCAGGACACCGGAGGCCAUACGUGUGAGGUCAUAUCUUCCCUUGAGAGCUGCAGUGGUAAUCUUGUCCCUCCAGAAUGUCCUGUGAUGAGCUCUUCAAAAAACCAGCUCAGAGUCCUCCCCAGCCUCCAGGCCCCGCUGCUGACUGAGCUUACCGCCUACCACCCCCAGUGCCUCCAUCCCUAGACCAAGAGGUGCCCUGCCCAUGACUGUGAACGUGCCUGCUUCAAGAGUGCGCUCAGGCCUUUAUCAUAGAAGCAGUAGCCAAGCACUGAUCCCAGCUUGCCGCCUCCCUCCCCAUGCAGCUCAGCGAGCCCACAGAAGCCAAACAGAAGCAGGACAGAGGGGAACCAUCCAGCUUCCUGCCAACGUGCUGAGUGGACAGACGGGCUUCAAAAGACAGGAGAAGAGGGAGAAAAGUGGUGGCCUUGCCCGUAAAGAGCACUGAUGCCCUAGGGACCCAUCGCAUCCAGCAAGGAAUCACUCAGACCCAGGCAGGAUGCUGUUCUAUCAGUCCCUAGAUUCCUGGGGGAUCUCCCCAAGCUACCUUGGGAGAAUGAACGAGGCCAGCCCACAUGGAUGGAACCAGGUCUGAAGUAUGGAUUCUCCUGAGGCCCUGGAGAACCUGGCCUUUCAAUAGCCCAUCGCCUGUCCCAGGUAAUCAUGUUGAUGGCAGCGCAGUCCCCGAGCUGUGAUUUGGUCUGGGAAUAGAAUUAUCAGGAAGCCCGGCUUGGCUGUCACAGAUGCUCUGCUUGGGGUUUUCCCUUGAAGUAAACAGAAAGAGUCCCAGUGGAAGGAGCGACUCAGCAGGGACUAUGGCAGCUGGCCUCCCCACUGGCCACUCUGUCCUCAAUGGUCACCUCUCAAAGGCUCAAUUAGUAAACAUUUCCUAGUCUAGGCUGGGAAAUGGCUACUGUUGAUGCAGUCACAGAGGAGGCACUGUGUACCAGUGCCCAACCAGUAUCCACAUUUUCUGAAGGCAGGCCCGAGUUGUCAAUCCAGAGACUAGACAGAAGAACUCAGCUCCACAUGUAAGUGAGUCCCUGUCCCUAGGCAGGCACAGGCCUGGCCCUGGUUUCCUGAUCUGUCUUGGCUAUUGAAAUCUAAUGGGAAAGGGGGUGCAGAGGAGGCCUGGGAUCUAGGCAAACUGACAGCUGAAGAAUCAGCAAGACCCAGCCCAGGAGUCAGGCCUGACUGUGCUGGCCACUAUCCAGACAGCUGAGCCUAGCUUGCAGUCCAGGGGCACAUGACACUCCAAGGACCAAGUAAAGCCUGGGCUCCCAUGUGAGUCUGGACACUCAGGGCCACUUGGCAGGCAGCAGGGUUCGGAGCCUGAUGCUCUUCCCUGGUCUCAGGUUGGAUUCCUACUGCUGAGACCUGCAUGCAUGUGGGAGUCAUCUUGGCUGUACUGCCCAUGGGACACAUCUCUAAGGUCCAGCCUUGUUGUGCUCCCUGGAUGUCCAUAAGCAAGCUACUGGUCAUUUGCCUGUGACUUCGGUGCCCUGGGAUGAGAGCCAUGACCAGGUUCCUGCCUCUCCAGUGCCAUGCUGGUACAUGCACCCUCGUGUGCAGGUUUAUGAACACCCUGCACCAGUAUGGCACUCCAUGCAGGGGAGUGCCCUGCCAUAGAAAAGCUGGCAAGACAGUGAGGCAGCAGGCCCACAGCGAGGCCCCUAACAAAGGCGGGGCGUUGGCAGGCAGCAGAAGAGGGGCGGGCUGAGAUGGAUGUGGCUUGGAGCCUAACAGGCCACCAGCAGCCGCAGCAUCUGCUUUUUCUCACCUCUAAAGGGAAUCGAUUUGUCUCUGACUGAUUUCCCUGACGUCUAGUUUUCUUCUCCGCCCGGCUGUCAACCCAGCCACUGUGCACAGGGCGGGGGAGGCCCUGGCCGUCAGCCUGCCUGCCUGCCUGCCCGCCUGCCUGCUCCUACCUCCCCAUGCGCCCACAUGCUCAAGGCUGAUCUCAUACUCAUAGCCACAAAAAAAGCCCACACCCCACAGACAGCCUACCCACCCCAGACACAAACCCCACAAGAUAUGCACAUCACACCCACCCACACACAGACAACCUGCCCACAACAUAGACAUCCCACAUAAUACACAUAACACGUACACACACACAGAUAACAACCUGCCCACAAUACAUUCACAGCCACACACAGGCAACUGGACCAUAACCUGCCCACAACAUAUACAACAUACACAACAUACACACCCUACACAAUACAUACCCCAUACAUAUAUACACACAACCCACCCAGAACAACCCACUUACAGAUAACAUGCCCACAGCACACACACAUGCCACAAUGUAUAUGUAUAUACAUGUGUUAUAUGUUAUCAUACUCCUACCCAUAGACAACCUGCUCUCAGCAUGUACACAAUACAUAGACCCUCUCUUUCAGAUGAUGUCUCCUCCACUCACACAUAUAUACACACAUAUAUAGACAUACCUCUCGCCUGUAUUUAACAGACCCACACACCCUGAACUAGAUACACAGACCACUCAUGCUCCCACUUACAGGUAAUGUGCCCAUUACCCCCCAUCCCCCCGACCUGAUACACACUCCACAUAUAUCAGUCCACAGACAACCUGGCUACAAACAUCCACAUACUAUACACACCUCACAACACAAAGACAACCAGCCCACAUUACAUACACAACACACAGAACACACCCCCUAAUCUGGCAGACAGAUAGACCUGCUGCUUGCAGUGCAAACAUACCCAUGGGUGCCAACAUGUAAAAUGGACACACCACACACACUGUACACACAGAUGGACACACACAGCCUCCACCUUUCCCCUAGGGACCACAGAUAUGCCACCCAUCCCACACACACCACAUACUAAUGAGACCAGAAGAAGCCACCCUUUGCACAUGCAUUACCUUGCCUCUCUGACACAAGUACUCCUAUCCCCCAUACAUAUAUACACACAACCCCCCCAUAGCAUGCUCAAAACACUCAUACUCCACACAUUGCAUAUACAUUCACAAUCUGUCCAUAACAAGCCCACAGGGUGCACACUCCACAAAACAUAAACACCAUUAACCGAGACACUUUCCAUGUUUACACAGACAUCUACAGAACACACACACACACAACCUCUCUAGCUCUCCUGUUCCCAUCUGACUCCCAACCCUCACAUGGCUGACUGCCACACAUGCAUACACACUCCCCCACCAUAUGUGCAUGCCUUCCAUUCCCAUAGACCUUGGCCUCACAUCCCUUCUCCAUGAUUGAGUAUCUGCAGGUUCUCCAGGGCCUCUGUGUGUGGUGUUGUCCUUCCUUGGACUGCCCACCCUUCUUCUUGUCAUGAAAACCUGUACAGAGGGGAAGCAAAACUACCAGAACCCUGCCAUGUACCCGAGGUCCCAGAGCCUAGGAGGAAGACAGCCAUAGCCAAGCUGGGCAGGGCUUGAGGGAACAGUGGGACCCUCUUGAGUAGCUUGCUACAACCCAACCUGGGUGCAUUGUUGGAUUCUGGUAGGGCUCAAGUGACUUGGGGCAGGAAUGAGGAAUUUCUAACACCCAGCACCACAUGGGGCAGGACUUCCAGGUAAUUCCCUGAAUAGCCAGUCAACAGCAACAACAGCAGCAAAGAGAACACCACACUGACUCUCAGUCCACAGAGCAUGACUGUGACAACCAUGGACUAAGGGCCUCAGAUGCCCAAGCUUGGCAGUCCUCUCAAGAACGAGGAGGUGAAGGUGCCAACUGCAGACAGGGUCCCAUAGAUAUGGCCAGUGAGUUUAGAUUGUUACUGUAAACUUAACAGCACGGCUAAAAACUCAGAUCAAACCAGCCAACUCCAGGAGACAGUGGGGUUAUCUGCCCUUAGAAAACUCCUAAGGUACUCUCUGUACCAUGCCCAUCUCAGGAAUCACACACCCUCAGCCUGGACCAGUGUGGUGUUGAUAUGUGCAUGUGUGCACAGAGUAUGACCUGACUGUUAAAGCACAGGACUGGGGUGCUCAGGUGGGUGGGUGGAACAUCUCCACAGCUGUGUGGCACUCCGUUGGGAUGUGAACAGCCAAAAGCAGCCAGAUGCAAUUGUGACUUGGAUGCAUAAGAAGAUAUAGGCUUGUGUCCCCUAAGAUGUACACACUGGGGUGAGUGUGGAAUUCCUUAUAGGAAUUAUGAGGUACAGCUCCAGAUAAAGGAGAGGCUCCCCUCUUGAGCUCAUGUCCUCCCCACCCCCCACCCCCGGACUUUAUCUGGCCAGGCAGCCCUGCUCUCAGCUCAGGCAGCAGAUAAUUGAUUAAUAGGACUCGUUCUUGGUUCUUUGAGGUCUGGUUGUAGAUAAGAGGAGACGGGAGCACCAGCGCCGAGGGAUGCCCUGGAUUCCAGGACUGAGCUCUGAAGUCACAGGUCAUAGGUGAGCCUAUUCCAAUCCUUCACCCUCCUCCUCCUCAUGCCAGAGGUACACACACCCUCCAGGGCAACAGGUACAAGGCAGGGCAGCCGUAAGGCUCACUCACCCUCACAAUGGAUUCAGGCUCAUCUCCAGCUGGAACAGGGAUUAGCUUCAUGUCCCCAUGAAGACUAUACAGAGCCAUGUUCAUGAGUGCAUGGGCUCCCAGGGGAGUGUCCCCAAAUUCCUACUUGUCUCCACAUGGCCCUUCUUUACUACUUAGAUACACUGAGGUUUGCUCCCAGAACCCCCAAAGCCACUAGGCAUAGAUCCUGCCUCUGUGACCUUCAAUGACUCCUCUAAACCGGGAAGUGGAUGGGAAGACAGCAACACCAACCCCAAAGGCCUAGCCUAAGGAAAACAUGGAGGAACACGGACAGAUCUGCAGCAUGCUGGGGUGCAGGAUCCCAGCUGAUGUCUGUGUGGGACAGGAGUGGAAGAAUGGAUGUUCACAAUGUGUUCUGGAACAAUCCUGCUAGGAAGGGUCCUUCAUUUAUUUUCUGUUGUGUGCCAGAUACUAUGUGGCUAAGCUAUUUGACUGUUCAUAACCUGUGAGCAAGUCCUAAUGCCAUCCACUCUGGGGUUCUCAUCUGGGAGAUGUGAAGUGAGUAGCUAAGACUGGAUAAAGACCCCUGCCCCUGAGAGUACAACAAAAAACCCCAGGUUCAUUGGUAGCCAUAGGCUCCUUCCAGGAUCAGACCUGAAGUGGCUGGGGCUCCUAGGGCUGAGGCGGGAGACCGAGCUGCAGAAGGUGAUAAACCCAUCCCUGUCUCAGUGUGGAAUGAAACAUUCACUGUGCUCUGCAGCUCAGGACAAGAAUAUGCACCCAUGCUCCCAGAAUGCAUGCUCUGGUCCCUCCACGAAUGCAUGUGCCCCAACAGCCCUCCUCCACUCCUUGCAGAUCUCUGAUGGCCUCUGGGGGAAGAAAGAGGCUGCUUCUACAUCCAGCUGACAGGUAGCACUCUAGAGCCUUCCCACAACCCUAGCCUAACAUCAGCAUAGCAUCCCCUGCAUCCUGACUCAGCAUGGCCCACUCCCAAACGGUACAGCUACCAAAUCCAGGGCCCCUGAGCCAGUAAAGCCACCUCCCAGUGGAGAACUUGAGGCAAGAGCACAUGAGCUACAGACAGGCUGAAUGCCACACAGCUGCUCAGCCACAGGGCUGGGUGUAAGCUCAAGUCUCCCACUGCUUGACCAGACCAAGCUAUAUGGCUCACGCUAUCCACCCUUCCCCUCAGUCUCUACCCUCUUCUAGGUCUGUCCCUCUUUCUCUGCAUCUCUUCUGCUCCCAAGCUUUCCUCUUCCCGUUCCUGCUUCCUUGUCCAUCCUUUUGUUUAAGGGCAGCACUACACUGUCCUUUGGUUCUAGAUAAAAGGCUUUCUCGGGCUCUACUAUCCAUUUGUGCUAUACAACCCAUGCCCUCGUUGUGCAAUGGGACAGAAUCUCCUGAGCUCGGUGAAAGGCCACAGGCUGCACUGUAUCUUGCCCUUAAUUAUUCUGUGGUGUGUGUAUAAAUAUGUAUGCAUGAACCUCUAUGUCUUUGCAUGCAUGUGUGUGUGCAGGUAUAUGCAUCUCUGUGUGUGUUUUAUGUGUAUGGAAAUAUGUAUGCAGGGACAUGAACCUUUGUGUCAUGUGUGUGUAUAUGUGUAUAUGUGGGGUGUGUGUGUGUGUGUGUGUGUGUGUGUGUGUGUGUGUGUGGUAUUGACUAGAGGUUGGCAUCAGGUGUCUUCCUGCCUCAUUCUCCACUGUAUUUUUUAAAUGGAGUCUCUUUGCUGACCCUGAAGCUCACCGAUUGGCUAGACUGGUAAUCACUGAGCUCUUGGUUUCUCCCACCCUUCCCAGCACUGACUCCCAGGUGCCAUUCUGGCUUUCUGUAUGGGGACUGGAGGUCUGAGCUGAGACCAAGCCGUCUCCUUGGCCCUCCCUCAUUCUUCUGAGAGCACAACCCUCAAGGGUUUGCCCUCUUUCCAUACUGCCGGUCAUUGGAAGAAAAGAAGAGAGAGAAGAAUAGAGGGAAAAAGA
Mus musculus (house mouse) is the source of this 7141-nucleotide long non-coding RNA. RefSeq annotates it as predicted gene, 32645. The transcript has 5 exons. NCBI's taxonomy places the organism in Eukaryota, Metazoa, Chordata, Mammalia, Rodentia, Muridae. The record is from RefSeq and is a predicted model, not a curated record.